UCAAAUACCUGACAGGGGAGAUACCAUGAUCACUAAGGUAGUUUUCCCAGGGCGAGGCUUAUCCAUUGCACUCCUGAUGUGCUGAUCCCUGCAAUUUCCCCAAAUGUGGGGAACUUGACUGCUAAAGA
Molecule: small nuclear RNA, 128 nt
Filed under: Peromyscus maniculatus bairdii (prairie deer mouse)
Lineage: Eukaryota; Metazoa; Chordata; Mammalia; Rodentia; Cricetidae
Description: U1 spliceosomal RNA (ENSPEMG00000000959.2)
Rfam family: U1 spliceosomal RNA
About the family: U1 is a small nuclear RNA (snRNA) component of the spliceosome (involved in pre-mRNA splicing).
Source: Rfam by way of RNAcentral